ACGCUCGACACCUACGGGAGGCAGCAGUUAAGGAAUAUUGGGCAAUGGAGGAAACUCUGACCCAGCAACGCCGCGUGAAGGAAGAAGGUUUUCGGAUUGUAAACUUCUGAUCUAGGGGAAGAAGGAGGUGACGGUACCCUAGGAGAAAGCCACGGCUAACUACGUACCAGCAGCCGCGGUAAUCUGAGCGGGCUGGCAAGGC
Molecule: ribosomal RNA, 202 nt
Filed under: uncultured bacterium
Lineage: Bacteria
Description: partial 16S ribosomal RNA
Rfam family: Bacterial small subunit ribosomal RNA
Source: RNAcentral